GCUGAAUAUUGAAGUCUUCCAGGCAGAGGAGGUUGCUAGUACUGCACAAUAUCUCAGAAGUGUGGACCCACUUGUGUGAGCUCUUCUUCAUCCUGCUGAGGUAGUUCAGUCUCUUCCCUUCAGGCUGCUCUUCACUCCUGUCUUCCCAGCUGCUGAAACCUCAUACCAGCCCCGCUGCCCGGCUGAGCAGACAGCUCAGUACGUGGGACCAAGCUGGAUGGCUGCCCUUUCACCUGCUCCUGCCAGAAAAGUGUGCUGCACCCCGGGAGCCUCGAGACGGCGUUCAGACCUGCUGACCCCUGCGCAGCCCCAGAAAGACAAAGGGUGAAAUAAGACUCUGUUAACAAGAGACAGCACGCCACAGAAGGGAGGGCUGGCGGAGCCUGGACAGCUAUGGGGGGACGGAUCCUGGCCACGGAAGCAAUGGAGCUGCUAAGACCAGGCUGCGCCUCAAUAGCGCAGCUUAGUCCGCACCAGUCCUACCAUAAUCCCCAUGUUGAAGUGUGCAAGCCAUGAAUUAAACCCAGGAAGUAAUUAAACAUCAUCUACUUUAACAGCCACUAGCAGGAAAAUAAAUAAGACAUCCCAACAGAGGAAGAUAGAGUAAUUUCACGUUUACGCUUCCAAGGGAAAAGGGAAUUUGAAACAAACAAACCAUCUUUUUUUUCCUGCAGAAAGAGAAACUCAAUUGCCUGUCAAAGCGGGACCAUAGCGACACCGAGGGCUCUGCGCAAAAUUCUUCUGUUUGCUUCUGCAUUUGAUUAGCUGCCUGCGUUAUGUGUUUUAAUUUCCUGCCGUUGAAGCGCAUUGCUGUCAUGGUGAUAGAUGCUAUAGAAAUGAAUAAAAUAAAUAAAUAAAA
This 859-nucleotide long non-coding RNA is filed under the name Aquila chrysaetos chrysaetos. RNAcentral describes it as "lncRNA (ENSACCG00020005963.1)". The record is from RNAcentral. Lineage: Eukaryota; Metazoa; Chordata; Aves; Accipitriformes; Accipitridae.